GGAGGCAACUCUGACCCAGCCAUGCCGCGUGAAGGAAGACUGCCCUAUGGGUUGUAAACUUCUUUUAUAGAGGAAGAAACCCUCCCACGUGUGGGAGGCUGACGGUACUCUACGAAUAAGGACCGGCUAACUCCGUGCCAGCAGCCGCGGUAAUACGGAGGGUCCAAGCGUUAUCCGGAAUCAUUGGGUUUAAAGGGUCCGUAGGCGGGCAAUUAAGUCAGAGGUGAAAUCCCACAGCUCAACUGUGGAACUGCCUUUGAUACUGGUUGUCUUGAGUUAUAUUGAAGUGAGUAGAAUAUGUAGUGUAGCGGUGAAAUGCUUAGAUAUUACAUAGAAUACCGAUUGCGAAGGCAGA
RNAcentral lists this ribosomal RNA (355 nucleotides) under uncultured bacterium. Its description in RNAcentral is "bacterial SSU rRNA". It matches the Rfam family "Bacterial small subunit ribosomal RNA", at positions 373 to 725 of the family's 1533-position model. The record is from RNAcentral.